This 507-nucleotide ribosomal RNA is filed under the name uncultured bacterium. Its description in RNAcentral is "partial 16S ribosomal RNA". It matches the Rfam family "Bacterial small subunit ribosomal RNA", at positions 29 to 507 of the family's 1533-position model. The record is from RNAcentral.
ACGAACGCUGGCGGCGUGCCUAAUACAUGCAAGUCGAACGCUUCUUUCCUCCCGAGUGCUUGCACUCAAUUGGAAAGAGGAGUGGCGGACGGGUGAGUAACACGUGGGUAACCUACCCAUCAGAGGGGGAUAACACUUGGAAACAGGUGCUAAUACCGCAUAACAGUUUAUGCCGCAUGGCAUAAGAGUGAAAGGCGCUUUCGGGUGUCGUUGAUGGAUGGACCCGCGGUGCAUUAGCUAGUUGGUGAGGUAACGGCUCACCAAGGCCACGAUGCAUAGCCGACCUGAGAGGGUGAUCGGCCACACUGGGACUGAGACACGGCCCAGACUCCUACGGGAGGCAGCAGUAGGGAAUCUUCGGCAAAGGACGAAAGUCUGACCGAGCAACGCCGCGUGAGUGAAGAAGGUUUUCGGAUCGUAAAACUCUGUUGUUAGAGAAGAACAAGGACGUUAGUAACUGAACGUCCCCUGACGGUAUCUAACCAGAAAGCCACGGCUAACUACGUG